UACGGAGGGUGCAAGCGUUAUCCGGAUUCACUGGGUUUAAAGGGUGCGUAGGUGGAUUGGUAAGUCAGUGGUGAAAUCUCUGGGCUUAACUCAGAAACUGCCAUUGAUACUAUCAGUCUUGAAUACCGUGGAGGUCAGCGGAAUAUGUCAUGUAGCGGUGAAAUGCUUAGAUAUGACAUAGAACACCAAUUGCGAAGGCAGCUGGCUACACGAAUAUUGACACUGAGGCACGAAAGCGUGGGGAGCAAACAGG
RNAcentral lists this ribosomal RNA (253 nucleotides) under uncultured bacterium. RNAcentral's name for it is "partial 16S ribosomal RNA". It matches the Rfam family "Bacterial small subunit ribosomal RNA", at positions 524 to 776 of the family's 1533-position model. The record is from RNAcentral.